UUUGUAUGUGUGUGUGUGUGUAUGUGUGUCUGUGAAUGUAUGAGUGUGUCUGUAUAUAUAUAUAUAUAUAUAUAUAUAUAUAUAUAUAUAUAUAUAUGCAGACACACACACACACACAUAUACACAUAUUUU
Molecule: non-coding RNA, 132 nt
Organism: Pelobates cultripes (western spadefoot toad)
Lineage: Eukaryota; Metazoa; Chordata; Amphibia; Anura; Pelobatidae
Source: the annotation of a GenBank genome assembly